This 1652-nucleotide long non-coding RNA is filed under the name Capsicum annuum. RNAcentral describes it as "long non-coding RNA (CANN_LNC014758)". The record is from RNAcentral. Lineage: Eukaryota; Viridiplantae; Streptophyta; Magnoliopsida; Solanales; Solanaceae.
CAAAACCUGAAAGUCAUCGUACAAGAACUACUAACAAAGAUCAUGUCUAAAGAGAUAUCCAAAAAUAAAAUAAAUAAAGAAUAUUUCAUCGCCCGAAAGAUGGACAAGAACAAAUAAGAUGACCCAUGUUAGCCUGGAGACGACGCACCCUUGGAUCAAGAUCUGCUAUCAAACUCUAGAGGUGAGGUCAUGUCUAAGCCUUUAGAACACUUUCUGCACUUAACAAAAGAAGAGUACAGGGUAGUAUCAGUACAAACCACUAUGUACUGGUAGGUAUCAUAGGCCAACUCAAUUUAAUAGCAUGUACACAACAUAAAUUAAAUAACAAAUAGGCAGGCAUCGUCACAUAAUAAAUAUUCAAUGAAUCAAUAAUACAGCAACAACAGGUCAAACAGUGCUCACAAAUAAGUCACAUAACCAUCAAGAGUAUCAACCAUGCUAUAAACAUCCACAAAUUCAACACAAUAUACACACACAUGCUAUGAGACUUAUUUUUGCCCAAAUAGUCAAGACCUACAGGGAACAAUCCAUGUUCAUGUACCGUGCCGGCUUGGUACCCGAUCCAAUAUAUACAUAUCCAUAUCGGCGAGGUACCUGAUCCAACAUAUACAUAUCCAUACCGGUAUGUACCCAAUCCAAUAUAUAUAUAUCCGUACCGGUGUGGUACCCGAUCCAAUAUAUACAUAUCCAUACCGGUGUAGUAUCCGAUCCAACAUAUACAUAUUCAUACCAGCAUGGUACCCGAUCCAACAUAUACAUAUCUGUACCGACGUGGUACCCGAUCAAACAUAUACAUAUCCACACCGGCGUGGUACCCGAUCCAACAUAUACAUAUCCACACCGACAUGGUACCCGAUCCAACAUAUACAUGUUCUAUCAAUAUCAAAUUUAUACUACCUCACAACAUACAACACGAUGUACCAAGUUUACAAGUACACUUAACGUCAUAAGACAAUUUCAUCAAGUAAAUUUUCAAUUAUCAUUUAUACACGCAUCAACAAUCCAAACAUCAACAAUUUCAAGCAUGUCCGAAUACCAAUCAACAAGUGUCCAAUUUAGGAGCAUACACAUAAUUAAGUCAAGUCUAAACUCUAAUUAAACCCUUAACCUACUUCGAUCGAUGAAUUCGAGUGUAGCUAGUCCACAAGCGCCUUGCCCUUUCUCAUAAUUUUGGAACGUUCAAAAAUCUGUUCAAGUACAUAUUCACCAUAAGAGUUCAAAUCUAAUUACACCCGUAAAAAUACGAACUAGUAUGUUGAAUUUAAACUAAAACGAAUCAUUAAUCGACUCUCUAAAUAAGAAUUUCUAAUCUACGAAUCCUAACCGAAUUUAAUCGCAAUUAUUAAUAACUGUGUGAAAUUGUAGUACUCCAAUUACACGGGAAAUCCCUUCAACCAUUAAAUUGUUGCUAAUCCCUAGAUUAUCAUUACAAAACUAAUGAUAAAUAAUAGAUUUCCUCAAAUUGAUUCGCCCAGUACAUGGCUUCUGCUAACUUCCAAUUUCACAAAUUAUAUGCACUAAGUGCAUGCUCGCCUAGCUUCCAAUUUCCUUAAUUAUAUGUACUAAUAAUGCACAGAUGAUGUUAAGAUAUUUUCUCAUUACAUUAAUGAAUUUUAAGGCAACAUAUUUCUCACCUCAGGUGUUGAUGCUGA